This 1452-nucleotide long non-coding RNA is filed under the name Brassica napus (rape). RNAcentral describes it as "long non-coding RNA (BNAP_LNC000438)". The record is from RNAcentral. Lineage: Eukaryota; Viridiplantae; Streptophyta; Magnoliopsida; Brassicales; Brassicaceae.
UUUCAGUGGCAAAUUCUUAGUUCCUUCGUACCGUGGCUCGUCUUUCUUGGACCCUAAGGGACGUGGUGGAUCCACUGGCUACGAUAAUGCAGUGGCUUUGCCUGCGGGAGGUAGAGGUGACGAGAAUGUAAUAAAAUGUUUGUAAUUUUAAUUAAAUGAAUUUUUUUUCUACUUUUUAAUGUAUUGAAUAUAAAUAGAUACAUCUUAAUUACUACUUAUUAAUAAAAAAAAAUAUUUUAUACCUAAGAAAACGGUAGUAUCUAUACUUCCACAUCAAUUUUGACACGUGGCGAUCAAACAUCCAUAUACUCCUGAAGCAAUCCAAUAAAUUUUUUAAACUUAUCCAACCUUAUCUUAGCCAAAAGAACUCGCUCUCCUCCAAUAAUUACUUCUCAGCUUCGCAUCAUCAUCACUCCGAUAACACACAUACAUCUAAAGACUUGGCGUAAUGGCAACUUCUCUCAAAGCCACCACCGCAACUUUUCUUCAGCCGGCGAAGAUCGCCACUUCUUCUCCUUCUCGCAACGUUCAUCUCCGAUCUAACCAAACCGUGGGCAAGUCCUCUGGCCUAGAAUCUUCACCUGCUAGACUCACUUGCUCCAUCCACUCUGACUUCAAAGACUUCGUUGGAAAGUGCUCUGAUGCAGCCAAAAUUGCUGGUUUCGCUCUUGCCACCUCUGCUCUCGUUGUCUCGGUAUAUGUUCACAUUCUCAUCAAGAACAUAAACUUAACAAAAUCUAUAGGCCUUUUGUAUAUAUGAACAAAUAAACAUUCAUAAUGGAUUUUAAAUGUUUAUAUCAUAGACAUGGAUAAACCCAUUUAUUACUGAUUAUUUUGGAAGUUUCUAUAAUAUACGACCAUUGCAAUAGUUGUAGGUUUAGUUGAAUAUUCUAUGGAAAUUAAUAAACCUAGGGUUUUUAAUAUAUUUUGUUAAAUGAAGGGGGCAAGUGCGGAGGGAGCACCAAAGAGGUUAACGUACGACGAGAUACAGAGCAAGACCUACAUGGAGGUUAAGGGGACUGGUACCGCGAAUCAGUGUCCCACUAUCGACGGUGGCUCUGAAACAUUCUCAUUCAAACCUGGUAAGUACACCGGCAAGAAAUUCUGCUUCGAGCCUACUUCCUUCACCGUCAAGGCAGAUAGCGUCAGCAAGAACGCACCUCCGGAUUUCCAAAACACCAAGCUCAUGACCCGUCUCACUUACACACUCGACGAGAUCGAAGGACCCUUUGAGGUUCGUCUUCACUCACUUAUUUCGAGGUGUUGCUUCUUACGCUAGAAACAGGAAAGUUAACUUGUAUUGUUCAUUUAAUUAACAGGUUAGUUCAGAUGGAAGCGUGAAGUUCAAGGAAGAAGAUGGGAUCGACUACGCAGCAGUCACAGUCCAGCUUCCGGGAGGAGAACGCGUGCCGUUUCUCUUCACGGUGAAACAGCUCGAGGCUUCAGGCAAAC